CGGAACAGACAUGUGAAUGAGGACAGAACGCAUAUUUUGUGGCCCCAUUGAAUUGAAUGGGUCCACAUACGAUACUCAAAAAUUGUGGAUUGGAUGCGGACCGAAACUACGUCCGGGUGCACAGGCCCUUACUAGAGCAAGAUGGAUAAGAAUCAACAUCCUAUUAAAGUGACCCGGGCAAGAAGAUUAACCAGAGACGGGAGAUGGCUGACAAAUCAUCAUGGCGGUCUGGUCUGAAUGGAGAAGACGAGGA
Molecule: long non-coding RNA, 253 nt
Organism: Bufo gargarizans (Asiatic toad)
Lineage: Eukaryota; Metazoa; Chordata; Amphibia; Anura; Bufonidae
Exons: 3
Source: RefSeq, a predicted model, not a curated record